AAUACGUAGGGUGCGAGCGUUAUCCGGAAUUAUUGGGCGUAAAGAGCUCGUAGGCGGUUUGUCGCGUCUGUCGUGAAAGUCCGGGGCUUAACCCCGGAUCUGCGGUGGGUACGGGCAGACUAGAGUGCAGUAGGGGAGACUGGAAUUCCUGGUGUAGCGGUGGAAUGCGCAGAUAUCAGGAGGAACACCGAUGGCGAAGGCAGGUCUCUGGGCUGUAACUGACGCUGAGGAGCGAAAGCAUGGGGAGCGAACAGGAUUAGAUACCCUGGUAGUCCAUGCCGUAAACGUUGGGCACUAGGUGUGGGGACCAUUCCACGGUUUCCGCGCC
This 328-nucleotide ribosomal RNA is filed under the name Acinetobacter baumannii. Its description in RNAcentral is "bacterial SSU rRNA". It matches the Rfam family "Bacterial small subunit ribosomal RNA", at positions 522 to 847 of the family's 1533-position model. The record is from RNAcentral. Lineage: Bacteria; Pseudomonadati; Pseudomonadota; Gammaproteobacteria; Moraxellales; Moraxellaceae.